UGGGGAAUAUUGCACAAUGGGCGCAAGCCUGAUGCAGCAACGCCGCGUGAACGAUGAAGGUCUUCGGAUCGUAAAGUUCUGUUGCAGGGGAAGAUAAUGACGGUACCCUGUGAGGAAGCCCCGGCUAACUACGUGCCAGCAGCCGCGGUAAUACGUAGGGGGCUAGCGUUAUCCGGAUUUACUGGGCGUAAAGGGUGCGUAGGUGGUCUUUCAAGUCGGUGGUUAAAGGCUACGGCUCAACCGUAGUUAGCCUCCGAAACUGGAAGACUUGAGUGCAGGAGAGGAAAGUGGAAUUCCCAGUGUAGCGGUGAAAUGCGUAGAUAUUGGGAGGAACACCAGUAGCGAAGGCGGCUAUCUGGACAGUAACUGACGCUGAGGCGCGAAAGCGUGGGGAGCAAACAGG
Molecule: ribosomal RNA, 403 nt
Filed under: Verrucomicrobiota bacterium
Lineage: Bacteria; Pseudomonadati; Verrucomicrobiota
Description: Verrucomicrobia bacterium partial 16S ribosomal RNA
Rfam family: Bacterial small subunit ribosomal RNA
Source: RNAcentral